This 253-nucleotide ribosomal RNA is filed under the name uncultured bacterium. RNAcentral describes it as "partial 16S ribosomal RNA". It matches the Rfam family "Bacterial small subunit ribosomal RNA", at positions 524 to 776 of the family's 1533-position model. The record is from RNAcentral.
UACGGAGGGUGCGAGCGUUGUCCGGAAUCAUUGGGCGUAAAGGGCGCGUAGGCGGCCCGGAAAGUCGGAUGUGAAAUCCCGGGGCUCAACCCCGGGCCUGCAUCCGAUACUCCCGGGCUGGAGGCAGGUAGGGGAGAUCGGAAUUCCUGGUGUAGCGGUGAAAUGCGCAGAUAUCAGGAGGAACACCGGUGGCGAAGGCGGAUCUCUGGGCCUUGCCUGACGCUGAGGCGCGAAAGCGCGGGGAUCAAACAGG